AUACGUAGGUGGCAAGCGUUAUCCGGAUUUACUGGGUGUAAAGGGCGCGUAGGCGGCGCGGAAAGUCUGGAGUGAAAGUCCUGCUUUCAAGGUGGGAAUUGCUUUGGAUACUGCCGCGCUUGAGUGCAGGAGAGGUUAUCGGAAUUCCCGGUGUAGCGGUGAAAUGCGUAGAGAUCGGGAGGAACACCAGUGGCGAAGGCGGGUAACUGGACUGCAACUGACGCUGAGGCGCGAAAGUGUGGGGAGCAAACAGGAUUAGAUACCCUGGUAGUCCACACUGUAAACGAUGAAUGCUAGGUGUAAGAGGUAUCGACCCCUUUUGUGCCGGAGUCAAAACAAUAAGCAUUCCGCCUGGGGAGUACGGCCGCAAGGUUGAAACUCAAAUGAAUUGACGGG
RNAcentral lists this ribosomal RNA (396 nucleotides) under uncultured bacterium. RNAcentral's name for it is "partial 16S ribosomal RNA". It matches the Rfam family "Bacterial small subunit ribosomal RNA", at positions 523 to 917 of the family's 1533-position model. The record is from RNAcentral.